RNAcentral lists this unclassified non-coding RNA (932 nucleotides) under Priapulus caudatus. Its description in RNAcentral is "carbohydrate sulfotransferase 4-like, transcript variant X1". Lineage: Eukaryota; Metazoa; Priapulida; Priapulimorpha; Priapulimorphida; Priapulidae. The record is from RNAcentral.
ACGCACCCCGCCACGCGUAUGCACGCCCGCUAACGUGUCUAGGUAAUAAUUGAUACGGACUGGAUUAAAAGCGCAAUUUUGCCACGGAUAAUGCCUGUAGUUACUAAAUUAUAUCCGAAGGAGACGAUCGCCUGUUCACCGGAGGAAGCUAUAUAGAGAUCGAUCCGCUUAUGCGUGCAGAAUUUACCCAGCUUCGUAGCUCGCAUUCACGUGCGGGGCGCCGCAGUUAUAAGAAUAACCUGCUGUAUACCGGGACUACUAGCCUAUUUACGAAGUUGCAGCGACACUGCUCGCAUCAGGAGCAGGAUCGCUGGCGGCGACAGUGACACACGCACGUAGCACCCGCAACGUUUCGGGACCUGUGGCCUGACGCGUCAGGGAUUAGCGAGGAUGUAGAUCCGUGUAGGGUCUAUUCACACAUACGCACGGUGAAAACUUAGAGCAGAUGUGACGACACAUAUAAGUUGAACAUGGUGUGGCCGACCCUCAAGUUGCAGGGCGAAUCAGUCGAUUCUUCUACAAAAGGGACUGGUUAGCACAAUAGCAGCAUUCGUUUUGAUAUGGCUGGUCAAGCUACUAUUUCUCAAUAGUAAUAUGUACAUGGAAAGCAAAGGAAAUCAAUGGAAAUUUGAAAGACCCCAACCACUACAACAACGAAAGAAGGCCAUCCUCAUCAGUACGCGCUACCGAUCAGGAUCUACGUUCACGGGCGAAAUAUUCAAUCAAAACGCGGAUGUGUAUUAUGUCUUUGAACCGCUUCACGCACUUGAAAGUAGAGUGACUGACUACGCUAACUUGUCGUUCGAACAAAAGGCCGCAAGGCAGCGAUCUCUUCUCACGAGCUUGUUUUUGUGCAAACCGAAUAAGGACUACCAACCAAUAUGGAAUUUCUUUUCCUUGACUAAACUACUUGACUUUGGUAACACAACUGG